Molecule: ribosomal RNA, 460 nt
Filed under: uncultured Capnocytophaga sp.
Lineage: Bacteria; Pseudomonadati; Bacteroidota; Flavobacteriia; Flavobacteriales; Flavobacteriaceae
Description: bacterial SSU rRNA
Rfam family: Bacterial small subunit ribosomal RNA
Source: RNAcentral
CCUACGGGAGGCUGCAGUGAGGAAUAUUGGACAAUGGUCGGAAGACUGAUCCAGCCAUGCCGCGUGCAGGAUGAAGGUCCUAUGGAUUGUAAACUGCUUUUGUAAGGGAAGAAUAAGGACUACGUGUAGUUUGAUGACGGUACCUUACGAAUAAGCAUCGGCUAACUCCGUGCCAGCAGCCGCGGUAAUACGGAGGAUGCGAGCGUUAUCCGGAAUCAUUGGGUUUAAAGGGUCCGUAGGCGGGCUAAUAAGUCAGAGGUGAAAGCGCUCAGCUCAACUGAGCAACUGCCUUUGAAACUGUUAGUCUUGAAUGAUUGUGAAGUAGUUGGAAUGUGUAGUGUAGCGGUGAAAUGCUUAGAUAUUACACAGAACACCGAUAGCGAAGGCAUAUUACUAACAAUUGAUUGACGCUGAUGGACGAAAGCGUGGGGAGCGAACAGGAUUAGAUACCCGUGUAGUC